UAUCACAAGAGUGCACACGCUGAAAUGUCUCGCCUUCUUUACUAAUCAUUGAUAUUAUGUUGAUAGUCCUAAAUAUAAAGCUUUAUUACAACUGUCACCUAAACUUAACAUUAACCAAGAAAACUAAACAUUGACCAAUGAACCAUGAAAAUGAGGUCAAGGUCAGAUGAACCGUGCCAGGCAGACAUGUACAGUUAACAAUUCUUCCAUACAACAAAUAUAGUUGACCUAUUGCUUAUAGUUUAAGAAAAACAGACCAAAACACAAAAACUUAACACUGAGCAAUGAACCGUGAAAAUGAAGUUAAGGUCAUAUAAAACCUGCAAGACUGACAUAUAGAUCAUAAAAUAUUUCCAUACACCAAAUAUAGUUGACCUAUGGCAUAUAGUAUUAGAAAAAAAGACCAAAACUCAAAAACUUAACUUUGACCACUGAACCAUGAAAACGAGGUCAAGGUCAGAUGACACCUGCCAGCUAGACAUGUACACCUUACAAUCAUUCCAUACACCAAAUAUAGUAGACCUAUUGCAUACAGUAUAAGAAAAACAGACCAAAACACAAAAACUUAACUAUAACCACUGAACCAUGAAAAUGAGGUCAAGGUCAGAUGACACCUGCCAGUUGGACAUGUACACCUUACAGUCCUUCCAUACACCGAAUAUACUAGACCUAUUGCUUAUAGUAUCUGAGAUAUGGACUUGACCACCAAAACUUAACCUUGUUCACUGAUCCAUGAAAUGAGGUCGAGGUCAAGUGAAAACUGUCUGACGGGCAUGAGGACCUUGCAAGGUACGCACAUACCAAAUAUAGUUAUCCUAUUACUUAUAAUAAGAGAGAAUUUAACAUUAUAAAAAAUCUGAACUUUUUUUUCAAGUAGUCACUGAACCAUGAAAAUGAGGUCAAGGACAUUGGACAUGUGACUGACGGAAA
Molecule: long non-coding RNA, 930 nt
Organism: Mytilus californianus (California mussel)
Lineage: Eukaryota; Metazoa; Mollusca; Bivalvia; Mytilida; Mytilidae
Exons: 2
Source: RefSeq, a predicted model, not a curated record